Zea mays is the source of this 353-nucleotide long non-coding RNA. RefSeq lists it as uncharacterized. The record is from RefSeq and is a predicted model, not a curated record. The transcript is spliced from 3 exons. Lineage: Eukaryota; Viridiplantae; Streptophyta; Magnoliopsida; Poales; Poaceae.
UCCAAGAGAAAUUACAAAUCUACUGGAAAAGUCUUUCGAGUGGAAUGUUAGCUUCACUGAAAGCACAAUUAUUUAUAGCAGUGUUUCCUUCCAAGUGAAUGCUAUAAACGCAGAAAUCGAUGGUGGCAACAUACUUCCAACUACAUCGUCCUCACAGCCAUCGUCGACCAUACUUUCGCAAGGACAAGGAUCAGGUGUCACACAAAACAAGGGGGCUGCCUUCAUCCGCGAGCCGUCGCUGACACCAGAGAGUCACAAAGUUUCGUCUAGCGCCAAGUGUAAUUUACAGACAGCCACACAUCAGGGAGCCAAUCUGCUGCUAGGAACAGAAAUUAUCACUUCUCCGCCUAACG